Molecule: ribosomal RNA, 494 nt
Filed under: uncultured bacterium
Lineage: Bacteria
Description: partial 16S ribosomal RNA
Rfam family: Bacterial small subunit ribosomal RNA
Source: RNAcentral
GACGAACGCUGGCGGCGUGCCUAAUACAUGCAAGUCGAGCGGACUUACAAAGCUUGCUUUUUAAGUUAGAGGCGGACGGGUGAGUAACACGUGGGCAACCUGCCUGUAUGACUGGGAUAACUUCGGUAAACCGGAGCUAUUACCGGAUAAUCCUCUUCCACUCAUGUAGAAAGGCUGAAAGACGGUUUAUGCUGUCACUUACAGAUGGCCCCGCGGCGCCUUAGCUAGUUGGUGAGGUAACGCCUCACCGAGGCGACGAAGCGUAGCCGACCUGAGAGGGUGAUCGCCCACACGGGGACGGAGACACGGCCAAGACGCCUGCGGGAGGCAGCAGUAGGGAAUCUUCCGCAAUAGUCGGAAGUCUGGCGGAGUGACGCCGCGUGAGUUGUGAAGGUUUUCGGAGCGUAAAGCUCUGUUGUUAGUGAAGAACAAGUACGAGAGUAACUGCUCGGACCUUGACGGUACCUAACCAGAAAGCCACGGCUAACUACGUG